This 539-nucleotide ribosomal RNA is filed under the name Pterobdella occidentalis. RNAcentral describes it as "SSU rRNA". It matches the Rfam family "Eukaryotic small subunit ribosomal RNA", at positions 393 to 934 of the family's 1831-position model. Lineage: Eukaryota; Metazoa; Annelida; Clitellata; Hirudinida; Piscicolidae. The record is from RNAcentral.
AGCAUGAGAAACGGCUACCACAUCCAAGGAAGGCAGCAGGCGCGCAAAUUACCCAUUCCUAACACAGGGAGGUAGUGACGAAAAAUAACAAUACGAGUCUCAUAUGAGGCCUCGUAAUUGGAAUGAGUCGAAUUUAAAUCCUUUAAUGAGGAUCAAUUGGAGGGCAAGUCUGGUGCCAGCAGCCGCGGUAAUUCCAGCUCCAAUAGCGUAUAUUAAAGUUGUUGCAGUUAAAAAGCUCGUAGUUGAAUCUCUGGUCUAGGACGAUGGCUCACUUAAACGUGUAGCUAUCGUACCUGACUAAUCUGCCGGUCCAAGGCGGGUGUGCUUAAACGUAUGCACGCUGCGGUCGGAAUGUUUACUUUGAAAAAAUUAGAGUGCUUAAAGCAGGCAUGCAUAGCCUGAAUAGUAGUGCAUGGAAUAAUGGAAUAGGACCUCUGUUCUAUUUUGUUGGUUUUAGGAAUACGAGGUAAUGAUUAAGAGAGACAGACGGGGGCAUUCGUAUUACAGUGUUAGAGGUGAAAUUCUUGGAUCACUGUAGG